This 151-nucleotide non-coding RNA is filed under the name Synechococcus sp. Lineage: Bacteria; Bacillati; Cyanobacteriota; Cyanophyceae; Synechococcales; Synechococcaceae. RNAcentral also lists the same sequence under 1 other name. The record is from RNAcentral.
CGUCUACGAUCGGGAUCCGGUUCCGCUGGUGGUCAUCCAGCGGAGGCAACGGGGAAAGUCCGGUGCAAAUCCGGCGCUGUCCCGCAGCUGUGAAGAGCACGGAGUCCGCUCCUGCUCCAGUCAGAACGCCCGCCGGCUCGUCACCUUCAUC